This is a long non-coding RNA of Temnothorax curvispinosus, 1996 nucleotides long. RefSeq lists it as uncharacterized. Lineage: Eukaryota; Metazoa; Arthropoda; Insecta; Hymenoptera; Formicidae. The transcript is spliced from 3 exons. The record is from RefSeq and is a predicted model, not a curated record.
UCCACGUUACGGCUGUUUACUUCCAGAACCUUCGCGAGCCGUCGCGAUUCGUGGCCGGCCGAUUAGAUACCGCGGGUGGAACACGUGGAACGCGCCGUACCGAGCGAGCACACCGUGGCCACCGUGUGCCACACCGUGCGACGCGCCAGGGACGGAUUUCGCGACGAACGUCGCGCCCGCGACAUUCUUGUCAAUGAUGUAUCGAUAGCCUUUUUUGCAUCACGAAUAGUUGCGAAUAGUAUCGCGUAUCGCGUCAACCUCGGUGUCGACUGCCGUCGCAUCCCGGUGAAAAUCCCGAGAAAGAUUGCUAUUAAAAAUUGAAAGAUUGAUAUUUUUAACAGCGUUUUUGCUGCAGAUUCAAAAAUUGACGAACUCGGAGCCUUGAUAGCUCGAAGUGAUAAUUUUUUUUAGUGACGAGUGACAAGCACACUGUUUAUCGCAGCUUAUCUUAUACACGUUCACGCGAAGAAAGGCAUUCGGAUUCAACAAGAACAACUGAAUCAACAGUAGAUGCAAAACCGUGCUUUAUAAAUUGCAUCACUUCUGCAGGGAUGUGAAAAAUCGCCGCGAACCCCGUGCAAAGACUGUAACAGAACUGUAAGUUUUGUAUAACGUUAUAUGGAUGAAAAACGAACAAUGACGGAUGGAACAUGUUACUUCGUUCCGAUCUGGGUUUGCACGCACCCGUGGCACCGUUUAGUCUAACGGUAUCUCAGGUAGUGAAUUAAAUGGAACGCCUCUGUUACGCACCGCGCUACGGUAUUAUUUCAUUGGUAUUCCUACAUAGAGACAAGUCUACGUGUGAAUGAUGAAACGUGACAUCAUCGUUGCAUCCAAAUCUUUGAAUAAUUAACAAAAUUUGUAAAAUUUAUACUUAAUCCAUUAAGUGCGUACUUACAUUAAUUUCUUAAAACUUAUUCUACAUUCUUUUCUAUAAUUUAAUAGUCAAUUGAUACUAUAAUAAUUAGCUUAGAAUUUUAUGAUUCAACGAUCGCAUAAAAUUGUAAUGUGCAUUAGUUUUUUUGUACUGUUUUUUCUUCACGCUUAAAAGAAAUAACUUGUCCACGUGAUAGAUUAAAAUCCGAAAGAAUAGAAAAUAACUUGAAAUGAAUUAUUGCUUAAGUAUUCAUAACAAAGGAAAUCGAAAGUGACUUGAAGUAGAUAAUACUUACAUACUAACGAUAGAUUAAAACAUUAAAACAGGGUAGAGGGCAAAAGUGACUUUAAGUGAUUCAACGCUUAUUAAGUACUUAUGUAUGUAAAUCAACAAACUGUAUAUUAAUUAAUAUCUAAUGAAUGUAGAAUUCAACCAUCUGUACUAAAUAUAAUAAUAUAUAAUUGAAUUUAAUUUACCAUUCACCAGAUAAAUUAACCAAGGAUCAAUCUAUUAGAAAUAUUUAUAUUACCAAAAGGUUUACUUUGUAAUACGGUUUAAAUUCGCAAAUUCUGAUUUAUAAUAAUCUUCUAAUAUCGGGAUUAGAAUAAUCAACUCUCAUGGUUGUAAAUGUUGGUGUAGUAAGAAAUUUUGGGAAUGAUCUCUUUAUCUCCAUGAUUGUGUCCAAUAUUGCCCUUUGGCCUUGUUCUAGUGCUGAGAGCUGUCCGAUUAUGUCGUCUAAUUUAUUAUUAAUCUCUGAAUAUUCGGAUAGAAUCUGAGUAUAUUGAUAUCAUGACCUGCAGGUAGAUGUGUGCCCUGAGGUUGUUUGAUUUCUAUUUUAUGUAAUGGUGUAAUAACACUUGGUCCAGAUAUUGGAUGGUCAUUAUCAUCAUCAUCAGAACCAUAAUAUUGUAAUGUUUGGGUUUUGUUAUCAGUCAUUUUGAAAUGUGUUAAAGACUUGGUACAUUUGAUCAAUAAUGCUGCUUUGUUAUUACAUAUAGUACAUAGGCCUGUAAAAUUAAAGUGGUGUUGAUAUAGAAGAUGUAAAACUACAAGAAUCAAUAAAAAGUACUUAAAAAUAAAACUAAGUAAUAUAAAAUAUAGGUGUCUAUGAUAAAAUAA